Molecule: small nucleolar RNA, 138 nt
Filed under: Carlito syrichta (Philippine tarsier)
Lineage: Eukaryota; Metazoa; Chordata; Mammalia; Primates; Tarsiidae
Description: Small Cajal body specific RNA 11 (ENSTSYG00000024167.2)
Rfam family: Small Cajal body specific RNA 11
About the family: scaRNAs are a specific class of small nuclear RNAs which localise to the Cajal bodies and guide the modification of RNA polymerase II transcribed spliceosomal RNAs U1, U2, U4, U5 and U12. ACA57 belongs to the H/ACA box class of guide RNAs as it has the predicted hairpin-hinge-hairpin-tail structure, conserved H/ACA-box motifs and is found associated with GAR1.
Source: Rfam by way of RNAcentral
UUGUCCUGGCCUGUGCUUUUGUGCUCCCCUGUGCUCAGUUCAGCAGGGUGGUCUGGCAGGACACACAGCACUCUCCCUCUCAGUUUAGGAGGGCCAUCCUAAGAGUAGGGCUGGCUCUUAAAGGCACGAGAGGACAGU